Mustela lutreola (European mink) is the source of this 1210-nucleotide non-coding RNA. The record is from the annotation of a RefSeq genome assembly. Lineage: Eukaryota; Metazoa; Chordata; Mammalia; Carnivora; Mustelidae.
CAGAAGACCAGCUGAGUUGUCACUGAGCUUUGGUAUCAAGAGGAAUGGCCAGGAUCCUGAGAACACCCAUUUUAAUAAUAUGGCUUCAACUAGGCUGGGUGAGUGGCCAGCAGAAGAAUAAGAGUGGCCAGCAGCAAGUGAAACAGGUUCCUCAAUCUCUGACAGUCCAGGAAGAAGAGAUUUCUACUCUCAACUGUACUUUUGAGAACACAGCAUUUGACUACUUCUUAUGGUACCGACAAUACCCUGAUAUCACGGACCCUGACCCUGCUGUGUACCAGCUGAGAAGCCCUAAAUCCAGUAACAUCUCUGUCUGCCUGUUCACCGAUUUUGAUUCUGAAACCAAUGAGGAGCAAGCCCCAGAGUCCACGAUGAUCAGGCUAAAAAGUACCGUCCUGGACAUGUGGUCGAUGAAUUCCAAGAGCAAUGGGGCCCUGGCCUGGAGCACCAGCACUGAUUUUAAAUGCAAUGAGACCUUCCGUGAGGACUUCUACUCCAGCUCAGACUUUUCCUGUAAUGCCACUUUGAUAGAGAAAAACUUCGAAACAGAUAUGAACCUAAACUUCUACAACCUGCUCAUGAUCGGGCUGCGUGUCAUCCUCCUGAAAGUGGCUGGGUUUAACCUGUUCAUGACACUGCAGCUGUGGUCUCGCUGAGGUCACCAAGAACAUGAGAGCGCCUGGCACUCCCUCGCUCCUGGCUCCCCAGCGUACCUCUUCCCUCUCUUCAAGCAGAGAGGCAGACUGUCUGCUCCCCUGAACAGAUAAGAAGGCUCCCUCUGCCUCUCUGUCCCCACUGGCAAUGGCCACCAGCUGGAUCCCACCAGAUACUCACCAUCAAGGUGCUGAAGAGCUGCCAAACCCUGCCUCUGCCCCCUCGGUUCCCUCAUUGCUGCUUGUCACCACUGGACGCUCACAGCAAAGUCAGGGGGCUGCUGCGGAGAGACUCCCUGUCCCUCCCGAGACUGCCUCUUACAUCCCCUGUCCCCUAUCCUCUGGGCGAGGAACCCCCAGUGGGUCCUCCUGGGCUCUAGCUCCCAGAGAAGGUUGUGAGGAGUCCGUUUUUUAAAAUAAUGUUCAUAAAUAUGUAUACCCUUUUCCCCAAGAUGUGGGGGAAAUUAUUACAGAGACCCUGCUGUGCUGUGUAUCUGAGCAGCGUUGUAUAUCCUGCUACCCUUGACUUCAUUAAAGACAAUUUGGAAGAGCCCAAA